GAAAACUAGAACACAACAUAGAAAUACUAGAUCACCCCCUAGUCGAGCCCUGACCUAAUACACCUGUUUCUCUAUGGUCAGGGCGUGACAAUCAGAUCAAAUUUGAUGACCAAUUUAUGCAGAAAUACAGGUCAUUCCAAAGGGUUCACAUACUUUUUCAAGCCACUACAUUACGUAAAACCCAAUGGACCAUAUGCACUAUUCAAUUAAAACUGAAUUCUUUGUAAAAUGAAACAAAUAUUGGCCAAUUAUUUUAUACAUUCAUCAAAUUACAUAAAAACACAAAAAUGACUGCCCUUCUAUUACCACCCCCCUCGCGUCCCCUUGACACACACACACACACACACACAGAGAAAGAGAGAUGUAUGUUUAGUUUAUGACGAGAAAUUUGGGGAGUGUUAAAGGAAGCGAGGUGUGUCUCUCUACAGUAUAAUUACGAGUUAUUUCUCUGGGAAGCCAUGCAGACAGAACCCUGACAGGAACUACAUCUCAGGUUUUGAUCUGAAACAUCGAGAUGUGGGGUCACAACCAAGGAAACCAGCAUCCCUCUGGCUACAACGUGAACCCAAGUGGGUGCGAACCGCCAAUGCCAGGUGGGGGACACCCUGGCGGGUGCACCAUUGGUGCCAUCAUGGCCCCAUCAUGCCCUCCCUACCAGCCCCCCUCCACCUGCUACCCUGUGCCACCAUCUUAUCCAGUACAGGGUCCCCAUGGAGGUCAUGGGCAUGGGCACGAUCAUGGGCACGGACCUCAUGGCCAUGAUCAUGGUCACGGGCACGGACAUCAUGGUCAUGAUCAUGGUCACGGUCAUGGAGGGCACGGUCAUGGAGGACACGGAGGGCACGGUCACGGAGGGCAUGGUCGCGGAGGGCAUGGUCAUGGGCAUGGUCAUGGUCAUGGGCACGGUCAUGGUCAUGGUCAUGGGCACGGUCAUGGAUGCAGGCACAGGCACAAGCAUGGGCAUUGGCAUGGGGGUUGUCACAAGAAAGGGAAGCAGAGUCAUGGGAGUUCAAGCAGCUCCUGCAGCAGUGACUCCGACUAGAGCCUGCAGUCAGAGGGACAUGACUUAUCCUCUUAUCAGCCGUAAGAGACCUGGAUCUCUCUCCCCAGUGCUUUACUAUAGCCCCAGAACCAAUCCCUAAUCCCCAUACCUAACAUAUGGAUGUUACAAACCCACAUCUCUCCCGCUCAUAUGUCUGAUUUUUUUAAAAGCAUGAUGGUUUCUUUUAUGUAAAAUAAUUAAAGGACACAGAGGGAAACGUAUUUUUUCUUGUUGUAUGCCAAAAUGAUUUAAAAAAAUAAAAUAAAAAAUGUCCAAUUACUGUGUACAUCAUAACUACAACCCACAGUAUACAUUUUUGAUAUGUCAAUUAUUGUGGGCCUGGGGAAUUCUGAUUUGUUUAUGGGUAUUUGGUUAUCCGAGCCAAGCUAUAAUUGUAACCCUGCAUAGUUUCCUCAUAAAGUCAAGCAUUCCUAAACAUUGAUUUGUAGGAACCUAAACUCAAAUGUGGGCGGGUUGCCUGUUUUGCAUGUUAUUUUGACAUGAAUACAUGUCACAUAUCAGUUUGCACACAAUAUUAAAAAAUAAAAAUAUGUCAUUAAGCUAAUAAAGCUGCAUACAAACUUAGUCUCUUUGUUGCUUUAUUGAGUAAGGCAGCUCAAAAAUGCAGGUGUUUGAGCCUAAUCUCAGUGCUCUCUGUG
Molecule: long non-coding RNA, 1701 nt
Organism: Oncorhynchus tshawytscha (Chinook salmon)
Lineage: Eukaryota; Metazoa; Chordata; Actinopteri; Salmoniformes; Salmonidae
Source: Ensembl